AUCUCAGCUACCUCAGGGCGGCUAUCUCAGCGCAGCUAUCUCAGUUAUCUCAGUAGUUUUCAGCGCAGAAUGUCCGAGCCGUUGUCAGUUCAGAAUGUCUAUGCUCCGCGCAGGAAUAUCGUAAGCCGCGAAAGUUAGACAAGGUUCUUUGAUUGUCUAUGCUCCGCGCAGGAAUAUCGUAAGCCGCGAAAGUUAGACAGGGGUGUACCAUCUUAAGGGCCGCGUUGCGGAAAUGUACCAUCUUAAGGGCCGCGUUGCGGAAAUGUACCAUCUUAAGGGCCGCGUUGCGGGGAUGUACCAUCUUAAGGGCCGCGUUGCGGAAUGUACCAUCUUAAGGGCCGCGUUGCGGAGUGUACCAUCUUAAGGGCCGCGUUGCGGAAAUGUACCAUCUUAAGGGCCGCGUUGCGGAAAUGUACCAUCUUUGUCAGUGCAGGUAGUGCAGCGCAGUCAGCGCGGGGUUGUCAGCGCAGUCGGUGCAGCGCAGUCAGCGCGGGGUUGUCAGCGCAGUCGGUGCAGCGCAGUCAGCGCGAGGUUGUCAACGCAGAUCACUUGAGUCUUCCCAGCACAGGUUAUCUAAGCCCUUAUUAUCUUUAAUGAUGUUCGACGAAUCAAAAGGAAUAAUUGCUAUCUCUUUUAUCUCAGCUUAUUUCCAGCAUUAAAAUACUUUGUCUUUAUCAUUUUUGCAAAGAUUGACAGUUCUUGUCUAAUAAGUCGCAGGGAAUCGUGUAUGCUUAAUUGACACGGGAGAGCAGCACAGCGCUGACUUCACACCACACACCACUAGUUGAACAAAGAGAACGCUGUUCAACUAGACUAGGGGGGAGUAGCUGAUGAGGACUGUAAUUCCCAUCAGCGUUGUGCUUAGCAAUCUAAGCCUAUUUUACCUUAUUAUUACUAUUAUUAUUAUUAUUACAGAAACUAACAGCGCAGGUACGAUCGGAUAUCUUGGAUAAAAGAGUAAGAAAUCCACCUAAGUAGAUGGAGUGAAGAAUGAUUGCACACAGAAACCUUCCCACGCAGCCAAGGUGCCUUCCUGCGCAGCCAAGUAGCUUUCCCGUGCAGCCGCGCAGCCAAACCAGAGCAGCGCAGCCGAGCUGCACAGCCAGACCAGAGCAGCGCAGACCAAACCAAAGCAGCGCGGACCAGAGCAGAGCAGCGCAGACCAAAGCAGCGCGGCAGCGCUGCGCAGUCAGAGCAGCGCCACCAAAGUGCCUUUCCUGCGCAGCUACGUAUGAUAGUUCAACUUCGGGAAUAAGACCAUUGUACUGAGUUUUGGGCCCAAUUGACUAGAUGAGUG
RNAcentral lists this long non-coding RNA (1297 nucleotides) under Salvia miltiorrhiza (redroot sage). Its description in RNAcentral is "long non-coding RNA (SMIL_LNC013230)". The record is from RNAcentral. Lineage: Eukaryota; Viridiplantae; Streptophyta; Magnoliopsida; Lamiales; Lamiaceae.